CCGCAAUGCAGUUAAUACCUUCAAGUCUUCAACCCUUUCGACUUCACGUAAAUCCAACCUAAUCGACACCAGCCUUCAAUUCUGCAAACCUACAGGGAAAUCAAGCGAAUUGGACUUCAAUUCUUCCUUCAAUUCGAUUUCGGUUUCGGUUUCAAAGAAGUAACGCUAAUUUCAAUCGUUAGGGUUUUGCUAGAUAUAAUCACGAGGAGAUGAGAGGUUUUGGCAUCACAAUGAAGCCCCGAGAUCGAGUGAUGGACUGUCGAUGAGCACAUGAAACAGUAGGAAUGUGACUCUGCCUCUUUUGAAGCAUAUAUAAGAAGAGCAAAGAUCUGAGCUUAUGGUUGAAUCUGGCAUACAUGGCGUUGAAUUGACUGAAGAACGUGUACCGAAAACUUCGGUUGAUGAAGAUGACAGUGUGUACCGUGACAAGUGCAAUACAUCGAUUGUCAAUUCUCACAGAAGCUGCCCAAGUCCCGAUUGCUCGUACGAUAUUUGUCUCAAUUGCUGUCGUGAACUAAGAGACGGCAUCCAGCCUGGCGGUAUGGAACCCGAAUCUUCUUUCCAACAGUUUCUUGAACAUUCUCAACUUCAGGAUGCCGAACCAAACACACAGUUUUUUGGUUGGAAAGCCGAUUUUAAACCAGAAACUUCAAUAACCGACAAUUUGUUAGAUUUCCCUAUUUGGAAAGCAAACUUGAACUGAAGCAUACCCUGCCCUCCAAAGCUCGUGGAGGUUGUGGUAUCGGAAUGCUAGAAUUGAAAAGAAUAUACGAAGCUCAAGCUCCGUACCUUCCCAACGACAACCUUCGCUACCGCCGAUAAGCUCUAUCAAGCACCACCGUAAUGUCGUAAUGUCCACAAGCUCAAGCUCAAGCUCCAACCAGAUUAAGACUGAUAAAGUGAGCGAUCUUUCGCUACGAGGCUUCUGAGCAAGACGUAAGGGAGUUCUUUUCCUUUUCGGGAGAUAUUGUUUAUGUUGACACACCAAGGUUAGUGUACCAGAUAAGUUUUAUCUUCUGGGAUUUUAUAUAUGUUACGUAGCGCGCCAAUACCGUUGAGUAGAUAUAAACUUAUUUGAAGUAAAUGCAUAAAUACAAUUACAUGGUAUGCAUAUGAAAUAUUACAUGAAGUUUCAAUUGACAUAUGCUGCUGUUAUAUCAAAGAUUUUUUUACUUCUUUAUCUAUGAAUCUCUAUCCCGAUAGAGAGAGAGAGAGAGAGAUGGGGUGUCGGCUGUUUUGGGCAAGCCCAUCAGUCCAACGGAGAUAAAUGGAAGAUUAUUUUUAUGUUGUUUUGUUUGGUAUUCAUGUUUCAUCUGGCUAACUCACAUAUUAUUGUAUGUUUAUGGAAUCAGUGAAUAAUGAGAAUUUGUAGGUGGGAGUUCUCAUUGAAGAGCCUUUUCAGAUGCUUUCUCUAGACAAGCUCUGCAUUCAAGUGUGUGAAAAUGUACAAGAGGCGAUGAAAAGUGAGGAGAAGAUUCAAAAACUUUACUUAUGAAAAAAGAGGCUGCAUCUAGGGAUCCAUCUAACAGUAGCUGUCCGUCAUCAAGCUAAGUGAUUAAGUGUUUACAAGCUCAUGUGCUGUUCGUGGUGGUUCUCUGAGACCCGUUUACCACAUUUUGGCUUCUUAUUACACGAAAAUAACGGAAAUGUAGAAUGUCCUAAAAGAAUGUCCUGUUGUAGUCAUGGGUUUGUAUAUGGUUAGUAUUUUUGUUAGUAAACAGUUUAGUUCUUCAUGAAAAGAAAUGUGCUUGUGUUCUGUUA
Helianthus annuus (common sunflower) is the source of this 1761-nucleotide RNA transcript. RefSeq lists it as uncharacterized. The transcript is spliced from 6 exons. Lineage: Eukaryota; Viridiplantae; Streptophyta; Magnoliopsida; Asterales; Asteraceae. The record is from RefSeq and is a predicted model, not a curated record.